Molecule: ribosomal RNA, 895 nt
Filed under: Emericellopsis glabra
Lineage: Eukaryota; Fungi; Ascomycota; Sordariomycetes; Hypocreales; Bionectriaceae
Description: LSU rRNA
Rfam family: Eukaryotic large subunit ribosomal RNA
Source: RNAcentral
GCAUAUCAAUAAGCGGAGGAAAAGAAACCAACAGGGAUUGCCCCAGUAACGGCGAAGUGAAGCGGCAACAGCUUCAAAUUUGAAAUCUGGCCUCGUGCCCGAGUUGUAAUUUGUAGAGGAUGCUUUUGGCGACGCGCCUUCCGAGUUCCCUGGAACGGGACGCCAUAGAGGGUGAGAGCCCCGUCCGGUCGUGCGCCUAGCCUCUGUAAAGCUCCUUCGACGAGUCGAGUAGUUUGGGAAUGCUGCUCUAAAUGGGAGGUAUACGUCUUCUAAAGCUAAAUACCGGCCAGAGACCGAUAGCGCACAAGUAGAGUGAUCGAAAGAUGAAAAGCACUUUGAAAAGAGGGUUAAAUAGUACGUGAAAUUGCUGAAAGGGAAGCGCUUAUGACCAGACUUGGGCGCGGCGGAUCAUCCGGCGUUCUCGCCGGUGCACUCCACCGCCCCAGGCCAGCAUCAGUUCGCGCCGGGGGACAAAGGCUUCGGGAAUGUGGCUCUCUCGGGAGUGUUAUAGCCCGCUGCGUAAUACCCUGGCGCGGACUGAGGUCCGCGCUCUGCAAGGAUGCUGGCGUAAUGGUCAUCAGUGACCCGUCUUGAAACACGGACCAAGGAGUCGUCUUCGUAUGCGAGUGUUCGGGUGUCAAACCCCUACGCGGAAUGAAAGUGAACGUAGGAGAGAGCUUCGGCGCAUCUCCGACCGAUCCUGAUGUUCUCGGAUGGAUUUGAGUAAGAGCAUACGGGGCCGGACCCGAAAGAAGGUGAACUAUGCCUGUGUAGGGUGAAGCCAGAGGAAACUCUGGUGGAGGCUCGCAGCGGUUCUGACGUGCAAAUCGAUCGUCAAACAUGGGCAUGGGGGGCGAAAGACUAAUCGAACCUUCUAGUAGCUGGUUUCCGCCGA